GUGGAUAGAGCUUAAGGUGGUAGAGCGCAUGCUUAGCAUACAUGAGGUCCUGGGUUCAAUCCCCAGUACCUCCU
This 74-nucleotide transfer RNA is filed under the name Camelus bactrianus (Bactrian camel). It matches the Rfam family "tRNA". Rfam says of the family: Transfer RNA (tRNA) molecules are approximately 80 nucleotides in length. Their secondary structure includes four short double-helical elements and three loops (D, anti-codon, and T loops). Further hydrogen bonds mediate the characteristic L-shaped molecular structure. tRNAs have two regions of fundamental functional importance: the anti-codon, which is responsible for specific mRNA codon recognition, and the 3' end, to which the tRNAs corresponding amino acid is attached (by aminoacyl-tRNA synthetases). tRNAs cope with the degeneracy of the genetic code in two manners: having more than one tRNA (with a specific anti-codon) for a particular amino acid; and 'wobble' base-pairing, i.e. permitting non-standard base-pairing at the 3rd anti-codon position. RNAcentral also lists the same sequence under 2 other names. The record is from Rfam by way of RNAcentral. Lineage: Eukaryota; Metazoa; Chordata; Mammalia; Artiodactyla; Camelidae.